This 445-nucleotide ribosomal RNA is filed under the name uncultured Anaerolineaceae bacterium. RNAcentral's name for it is "bacterial SSU rRNA". It matches the Rfam family "Bacterial small subunit ribosomal RNA", at positions 925 to 1382 of the family's 1533-position model. Lineage: Bacteria; Bacillati; Chloroflexota; Anaerolineae; Anaerolineales; Anaerolineaceae. The record is from RNAcentral.
ACAAGCAGCGGUAGCGUGUUGGUUUAAUUCGUUUGCUACACGAAGAACCUUUACCUGGGUUUGACAUAUAGUUGUAGGGAACUGAAAAGGGACCGACCCUUCGGGAGCUUAUACAGGUGUUGCAUGGCUGUCGUCAGCUCGUGUCGUGAGAUGUUCGGUUAAGUCCGCUAACGAGCGCAACCCUCGUCGUAUGUUAUAUGUGUCAUACGAGACUGCCGGUAAAAGCCGGAGGAAGGUGAGGAUGAUGUCAAGUCAGCAUGACCUUUAUAUCCAGGGCUACACACACGCUACAAUGGUCUGUACAAUGGGUAGCCAAGCCGCGAGGCGGAGCCAAUCCUGAAAGCAGGCCUCAGUUCAGAUUGCAGUCUGCAACUCGACUGCAUGAAGCCGGAGUUGCUAGUAACCGCAGGUCAGCAAUACUGCGGUGAAUACGUUCCCGGGUCUU